Molecule: ribosomal RNA, 224 nt
Filed under: Brachymyrmex pictus
Lineage: Eukaryota; Metazoa; Arthropoda; Insecta; Hymenoptera; Formicidae
Description: partial large subunit ribosomal RNA
Source: RNAcentral
GAAUUUUAUAUAUUUAAAUAAAUUUUGAUAGUAAGUAAUUUUAUUUAAAUAUAUUUUAUUGGGAGGAUAUUUAAAUUUAAUAAACUUUUUAAGUUGAGAUAAAGAUACCAUAAAUUAAUGAAAAUAAAGAAUAAUUUAAUUUUUUUUAAAUUAUUUAAGAAUUAAUUACCUUAGGGAUAACAGCGUAAUAUUAUUGGAAAGAUCAUAUUUAUAUUAAUGUUUGC